UGAGUAACGCGUGGGAACAUACCCUUUCCUGCGGAAUAGCUCCGGGAAACUGGAAUUAAUACCGCAUACGCCCUACGGGGGAAAGAUUUAUCGGGGAAGGAUUGGCCCGCGUUGGAUUAGCUAGUUGGUGGGGGUAAAGGCCUACCAAGGCGACGAUCCAUAGCUGGUCUGAGAGGAUGAUCAGCCACAUUGGGACUGAGACACGGCCCAAACUCCUACGGGAGGCAGCAGUGGGGAAUAUUGGACAAUGGGCGCAAGCCUGAUCCAGCCAUGCCGCGUGAGUGAUGAAGGCCUUAGGGUUGUAAAAGCUCUUUCACCGGAGAAGAUAAUGGCCGGAUCCCGAAAAAGAGCCCCCGGUUAACUUCGUGCCACCACCCGCGGUAAUACAAAGGGGGCUAGCGUUGUUCGGAAUUACUGGGCGGAACGUAAAGCGCACGUAGGCGGAUAUUUAAGUCAGGGGUGAAAUCCCAGAG
Molecule: ribosomal RNA, 473 nt
Filed under: uncultured bacterium
Lineage: Bacteria
Description: bacterial SSU rRNA
Rfam family: Bacterial small subunit ribosomal RNA
Source: RNAcentral